RNA transcript from Chelonia mydas (Green sea turtle), 5554 nucleotides. It is a transcript of the gene named occludin, with no coding region annotated. The record is from RefSeq and is a predicted model, not a curated record. The transcript has 7 exons. NCBI's taxonomy places the organism in Eukaryota, Metazoa, Chordata, Testudines, Cheloniidae.
ACAAGGGCCCCCAGCUCUGCACACGGGGCUGCCUGGCGGCUGGGCACAGUUAAUGUUUAACUCGCUGUUUUCAUUGGAGGCUAAUAACGCACCAAGGGGAGCAGCUGGGCCGGACGCCUUCACAAUACCCCGACUUUGCCGGGAUGACAGCAGGAGGGUGAGGAUCAGCCAUGAACCUAUGUACCCCGCAGCCUGUGGCCCCACAAGGGAAGGACAGAGCCUGGCCAGAUCGGAGAGAGGGGAGCUCCCCCCGGUCCCAGCGGUGCUGAUGAGACUAGGGACUCCUUGGACAUGGCGAACUCCACCUCCUCCAGGGAGAAGAGGCAGCCCAUCGUGGAGUCAGACGGAGACCCGCUAAACUCCUCCUGGCAAAUGUGGCCCUCGCCAGCCUGGAUCAGGGCAUCCGGCAGGUCCUACCCUGGCAAGAGCGACUUGUCUGACUCUUUCGAUUCCUCCACCCGUGAGCCUCCCCUGCCCGCCCAGCCACCCGUCGGGGACGUCCCCCGCAGCUCAGAGAACCAAGAGGCCUCUCACUUGAAGCCCGUCAGGCGUUUUAUCCCGCCGUCAUGGAAAAACUUUUUCCAAAGAUGGAGGCGAGAGCCCGAGCCGUUCCUGCCGCUGGCCUACGCUGCUGCCCAGAGCUCCCCACCCGUAAGUCCGUUGUUAGAUCGCCGCAGGCCAGCCCGCGAUGGCAGCUCCAGCAGCGGUUUCCAGGAACCCUCCUGGUCCAGCCCCUCUGAGUGUAACCAGGAGACAGAGAUGUCUCCCCCCAAGAGCCAGCAGGGCCAACCCGCCUUGCCGAGCUAUGAGGAGAAGCUGGAGGCCUACAACCUCAAGUACUCCUACAUGAAGUCCUGGCCAGGCCUGCUCCGGCUGAUGGCCGGGCUGGAGCUGCUCUUUGGCGGCAUGGUCUUUGCCUGUGUCUGCGCCUACAUCCAGAAGGACUACCAGUGGUACAACCUGUACGGCGGGAACCUGCUGUCGGACGGCCUCUUCGCGGGGGGCUACGGGUACAAUUAUUACGGCCCCAUGACCCCCUUUGUGCUGGUGGUGGCCAGCCUGGCGUGGCUGGUGACGGUGAUCCUCUUGGGGCUGGGGGUCACCAUGUACUAUAGGACCAUCCUCCUAGACUCCCACUGGUGGCCCCUGACGGAGUUCGCCCUCAACAUCAUCAUGUUCCUCCUCUACAUGGGGGCGGCCAUCGCCUACGUCAACGACGUGAACCGUGGCGGCCUGUGCUACUCCUUGUUCGCCAGCAACCCGCUCCUAGCUGCCUUCUGCCGGGUGGAAGGGGGCCAGGUGGCGGCGAUCGCCUUCCUCUUCAUCACCACCCUGCUCUACCUGGCCGGGGCGCUGGUGUGUCUGAAGAUGUGGAGGCAUGAGAUGGCGAGGAAGCAGCGGGAGGCCUUUGAAGCGCUACACAACCCCGUCCUCCUGCAAGCCAGACCCAAGCGGAUCGUCUUCCAGGAUGAGGUGAUGCCGUCCGGGAGCCUCCCCGGGAAGGUCACCAAACAGCUGGCGUUCUCCGAGAAGGGAGAGGAGUUGGGGGCCUUGAGUUGCUCCAUCCCAACGGGGCACACCCCGAAGCCGCACAUCGUCCCCGACUAUGUUGUGAAAUACCCGGGGAUCUGCUGCCCUGAGGAGAGAGAGAAGUACAAGGCCGUCUUCAACGACCAGUACGGGGAGUACAAGGAGCUCUACCACGAGGUCCAUGCGGCGCUGCAGAAGUUCAAGGAGUUGGACGCCAUGAUGAGCCGGCUGCCGCGUCUCACGCCCAGCAGGAAGGAACAGAGCCGGGUCUCCAACAUCUGGAAGGAGUACAAGAAGAAAAAGAGGGACCCCACCUUCCUGGAGAAACAGGAGCGCUGUGACUACCUGAAGAAGAAGCUCACGCACAUCAAAGCGCAGAUCCAGGAGUACGACCGGACGGCCAAGGAGGGCUCCAUGUACUUCUGAGCCUGGCACUUGCGGGGUGGCACCAUACCGCCCUUGGGCUGGUCCCCAACACCCUGGCCGCCAGCCCUGAUUUACUCUGGGGCUUGCUGAUGUCUGGGAGAUCUCGGCCUGAAAGAGAGCAGGAUACAGGACACUGGGGGGCGCUCAGGGGGGCUCGAACAAUUUUUAUAGUGGGGAUGCUGAGAGCCAUUGAACCAAACUGUAAACCCUGUCUAUAAUGGAAACCAUUCCCAGCCAGGGGGUGCGGCCACACCCCUAGUUCCAGCACCUAUGGGGGUGCUGGUGUCUUGUGGCCUCCUGUGCAUCACACACACACCCCAGCUGGGUCACAUGUGGGUCAGGCACCAUCCCUGCCCCGUGCUGCCCCCUCACCGGCUGGGGCUGGGAACCAGCAGUGCUGAUGUGCACUCUCCAGGUGGGACCGAAGCUGGGGGUGGGAGGAGUGGGGCCUCAGGCGGGGUGGGGAGAGGUGCAUCGCUCCUGCUCACGGGGAUAGGUAACCAGGUGCACCGUGCAUCUGCUCCAGCCAGCAGCAGCCAGACCCAUCCUCCAGGCGGACCCUGGGGAGAAGCUAUGAAACUGGACAAAGCUUCUGGCUGAAGAGAGCUGUUGUGAUGGGAGGAUAAAACGCCCCUGGGCAUGGAUCUGUGCUCACUUCAUGCUGGUGUAAACUUGGGAGUCAUGGCACUGAGGACAGUGGACUUGCACUGGUCAUUGACUUCAGCGGGAGCAGGAUUGGGACCCUGACUCCUGUAACGUGGUCCCUGGCUGGAGCCCUGGGAGCCAGGCCGGAGAUUGCCUCUUACGUGCAUGACUUCAUCGCCACACUCCCUUACUCUGUCUGCAAAGCAACUAUCGGAGGAGGGGGGCAGCAUUCACCUGAAAGCAAAAACUGAGCUUUGGGGGGUGCCUGUAACUGUCUCUAAGGAGCGACGGCUUCCCCAGUGAAUAAAAUACACCUGGCGGCCCGUGUGUGAAAUCCCUGUAGCCAGCAGGAUCUGCCCUGCUCUGCGCCAGAAUUCCCCUGGAGAGGGUCCCCGAAGGGGGGGAUGUGAGGGGAGGGAUGCUAACACACGUGCUCUCCGCUAAAAGCACUGUGGGUCAUAGCAGCAUCACGUGGGAAAUUAGCGGAGCUCUCUGCUCACCAUGCCCUGAGACAUGCCCCCCCCCCCCCCCCCCCCGAGGAUGUGACUCCGUUGCAGCUUCCCCCCAGGGGGAUUUACUACUUUAGUUCAAGCUCAUGAAAGGCUCGUGGCCUUCCUGGGAAGGUCCCAGGUUCGGUUCGUGGGCCGUCCCCAUGUGGUCAUUAGGGAGCAGAGUGAGACGAGUGGGGUGUGUCUCCCCUGCACACUAAGCCCAGGCUCUGAUUCAGGUUUGAGCCUCCCGGCUACACACAUCAGCCCAACUCAGGUCAGCAAACACUCAAGGCCCAGGUCCUUGGACCCUGCUGGGGGAUGGACUGGAGCCUGAGUCCCGCUGUGACUGGGGUCCGAGCCCUGUCAUGUUGCAGUGUGGAUGCAGCUCAAGCCGUUAGCCCAGCUGUGCAACUCGGGUCCAGCAGUUGUAAACCCAGGUUUACAGUGCGGCAUGGACACUCAAGAAUGGGCUUGGAAAAACCUGGGUUUACAAUGCAGUGUAGACAGACCCAUGAUGAGCUACCCUGGUGCAUCUGUGGAUUGUUAGCACUAGUGACCAGCGCUGGAAGCUAGCUGCAGAGGGAGAAUUUCAGAGCACCCUGACUGACAGCCAUCCCGGUGCGGGCAGCUGGUCGGAGCAGCCCUGCUAUUCGCACGUUCACUGCAACACACCCGGCUUUAGGUUCUUUUUCCACUUACAAAGCUGCUUUUUAUUUAAAAAUUGGAAACAACGAGGCGUCCAGGGCUAGUUAAGGCCCCAAUCCUGCCAACAUGCCCCAUGUUUAACUUCAAGCCCUGUGGGCCGUUCAGCUGAGACACCCUCUGACUGCAAAGCCCGGGACCCCACAAACUCACUGCACCCACAGGGAGCAAGACUUAAAGAGGAGUAAAAUCCAAGUGCCGGGCUGGGAUCCUUGCGGCUCGGCAGGACCUCUCGGGCCCGACUGAGUCAGGGAGAGGCAGCUCAACCUUGCCUUGGGGGCUGCUCCCCCCGUCGGUCCAUGUGCAUGACCAAUGGAAGGGGUUAAAGUCAAACCAGCCACGCAGCCGGGCGCUUUGAUCAGAGUCCUGCACACAAGGCGAUUUAUGUCCACGCUGGAACAGGGAGCUGAGGUUUAAGCACUCCAUCUGCUGCUGCCAAGGUUUUGACUCCAGCUGCGCCAGGUUCCUGCAGUUACAAGCCUUCUCUUCGGCCUGGCUGCAGCCAGAGGAGGCUGGUGGGUUGUUUUUAAUGAUUGUGCACCUAGUAAUGAUUAAUCCCUGGGCUGCCAUUUUAAGACGAACAAAGAGGGGAGGAAAACAGAGGGGACCCAGGUAGCUGCUUUUAAAGGAACCAGCCAACCCCCUUCUCAAGGCAGCGGCUCCAGGAACGGUGCCCUGAGCCAGGGGCCCGUCUGCAGGCAGCACCAGGCUGGAAAGCAGCGCGUUUACCAAUAAUACUAAGGCCAGAGACCGGCGCAGCUGGCACUGGAGAUAGCUGCUGCAACCUAAGCUCUGUCGAACUUAAGGGGGCCAGAUUCCCAGCAAGUAUCAAUCAACCUGCAGCCAGGUAGGGGUCUGGCCCCAUUGACCUCAGUGGAGCAGUGGCAAUGGAUGCUAGCUGAGGCCCUGGCCUAGAAAAAUUCUUCGCAAGAGGUCAGAAGGCUGAAUUCACACAGAUCUGCCUCCGAGAGUUCGCCUUCGAUGCAGAACACCGUGAAUCUUCACCAGCUGCUUCCUUCAAAGCUUAAAUCCUUGUUUGUUGUUAAGGGGUUUUUAGAGGGGCCGUUGGGUUUUCUUGUUUAUUUCUAGAGUAACAAAGCUAGGACGAAAAUGAAAACAAGCUUAACUGGCUCCAUUGAAUAAAGCAAGGUGCUUGCUAAACAAAAAUCCUGGGCAAUUCAAAGAACCGGGUUAAAGAAAGAGGUGGAAUUGCAAAAUCUUUGCAGAAAGGGCUUAGGUGUCGGAGUCAACUUCACUGGGUCUGGAAAUUCUCUCUGGGGUCUGGGAUCAAACUGGAACUGCAGCUUUUAGAAGCACUGGGAGCUUUUGUUGUCUUUGAAACUUGAAUCCUGGCCAAAGAAAGGAGGUUUGGCAGCGAGAACACAGCACCAACCUUAUCGCGGGCUCUCUUGGGGAAAGAAAAACAUUGGGGAUUUUUUUUAAAAAGGACUGACUAGAGCACACGCGCGUGUGAGGGGAGCGUACUAUUUGCUAGUGCCGGGACAGACGGGUGGAGACCCACGAGGGGCGUGUAGUGAGCGAACCCUGCCCUGAGCUGCUGUGGGCUUCCCAGCUGCAGGCCUGGGAAAACAGAGCCUUAUUAAUCAGGUGAAAUAAGAGAGGAGGUGGUGUUGGCAGAAACUGUUGCAGCCGGAGUGGAGGCCCCAGCCGAACAUUCCCAUCCUAUCUCCAGCGGUUCAGGACGGCUGGAUUCAGCAGGGAUCAUUGACCCUGCACGUUCCUAGUGAUCCCAAAAUCCA